Molecule: ribosomal RNA, 206 nt
Filed under: uncultured bacterium
Lineage: Bacteria
Description: partial 16S ribosomal RNA
Rfam family: Bacterial small subunit ribosomal RNA
Source: RNAcentral
AGCGCAGGCGGACCGGCAAGUUGGAAGUGAAAACUAUGGGCUCAACCCAUAAAUUGCUUUCAAAACUGCUGGCCUUGAGUAGUGCAGAGGUAGGUGGAAUUCCCGGUGUAGCGGUGGAAUGCGUAGAUAUCGGGAGGAACACCAGUGGCGAAGGCGACCUACUGGGCACCAACUGACGCUGAGGCUCGAAAGCAUGGGUGCAAACA